CAGCGGAAGCCAGAGAACAAACAACCGCGGCGGGUCCCUGGGGUUCCCCUCAGCAAAGGGAUGCAAGAACGGCAGAUUUAGGAGGGCGCGGGAUGGAAGUGCUUUUGGAGGUCCUGUGGUGGGGCUGUCUGAGAAAGGCUGGAAGGCUGUAGAACCAAAUAGUCAGUGAUGACUAUGGACUUCAGAGUUGGACUGACCCAGUUCUCGCAUUGACCAGGCAAGCAACCACAACUCACCUUUGGAUGCUGCAGCAUGAAGUCCACGGCUUCUUCAAAAUACUCCAGGCACACAUCAUUCAAAUACUCAGGGAGGUCUUCAAAUCUGAAAUAAGCCAGAGCAAGCACAG
Molecule: non-coding RNA, 346 nt
Organism: Manis javanica (Malayan pangolin)
Lineage: Eukaryota; Metazoa; Chordata; Mammalia; Pholidota; Manidae
Source: RefSeq, a predicted model, not a curated record